GAGUUUGAUCCUGGCUCAGAUUGAACGCUGGCGGCAUGCCUUACACAUGCAAGUCGAACGGUAACAGGUCUUCGGACGCUGACGAGUGGCGAACGGGUGAGUAAUACAUCGGAACGUGCCCAGUCGUGGGGGAUAACUACUCGAAAGAGUAGCUAAUACCGCAUACGAUCUGAGGAUGAAAGCGGGGGACCUUCGGGCCUCGCGCGAUUGGAGCGGCCGAUGGCAGAUUAGGUAGUUGGUGGGAUAAAAGCUUACCAAGCCGACGAUCUGUAGCUGGUCUGAGAGGACGACCAGCCACACUGGGACUGAGACACGGCCCAGACUCCUACGGGAGGCAGCAGUGGGGAAUUUUGGACAAUGGGCGAAAGCCUGAUCCAGCAAUGCCGCGUGCAGGAUGAAGGCCUUCGGGUUGUAAACUGCUUUUGUACGGAACGAAAAAGCUUCUCCUAAUACGAGAGGCCCAUGACGGUACCGAAGAAUAA
RNAcentral lists this ribosomal RNA (482 nucleotides) under uncultured beta proteobacterium. RNAcentral's name for it is "bacterial SSU rRNA". It matches the Rfam family "Bacterial small subunit ribosomal RNA", at positions 9 to 488 of the family's 1533-position model. Lineage: Bacteria; Pseudomonadati; Pseudomonadota; Betaproteobacteria. The record is from RNAcentral.